This is a non-coding RNA of Aedes albopictus (Asian tiger mosquito), 118 nucleotides long. The record is from Rfam. Lineage: Eukaryota; Metazoa; Arthropoda; Insecta; Diptera; Culicidae.
UACCCAGCAACUCCUAUCCCUACCUCCACGCGGUACCGGCCGGAAACUAUGAGCAACCUUAGGGAAGAUCGGGUAACCAACCCCGGUGGGAACUUUGGUCGUAGGCUGACAGGGAAGG